Molecule: ribosomal RNA, 253 nt
Filed under: uncultured bacterium
Lineage: Bacteria
Description: partial 16S ribosomal RNA
Rfam family: Bacterial small subunit ribosomal RNA
Source: RNAcentral
UACGUAGGCAGCGAGCGUUGUUCGGAAUUACUGGGCGUAAAGAGUGUGUAGGCGGUGCUCCCAGUCUGUUGUGAAAUCUCCCGGCUUAACUGGGAGGGUGCAGCGGAAACUAGAGUGCUAGAGGGUGGGAGAGGUAAGCGGAAUUCCUGGUGUAGCGGUGAAACGCGUAGAUAUCAGGAGGAACACCUGUGGUGUAGACAGCUUACUGGACCACUUCUGACGCUGAGACACGAAAGCGUGGGUAGCAAACAGG